UACGGGGGGGGCAAGCGUUGUUCGGAAUUACUGGGCGUAAAGGGUCCGUAGGUGGCCAACUAAGUCAGACGUGAAAUCCCUCAGCUUAACUGGGGAACUGCGUCUGAUACUGGUUGGCUUGAGUGCAGGAGAGGAACGCGGAAUUCCAGGUGUAGCGGUGAAAUGCGUAGAUAUCUGGAGGAACACCGGUGGCGAAGGCGGCGUUCUGGACUGCAACUGACACUGAUGGACGAAAGCCAGGGGAGCAAACGGG
RNAcentral lists this ribosomal RNA (253 nucleotides) under uncultured bacterium. Its description in RNAcentral is "partial 16S ribosomal RNA". It matches the Rfam family "Bacterial small subunit ribosomal RNA", at positions 524 to 776 of the family's 1533-position model. The record is from RNAcentral.